Molecule: long non-coding RNA, 919 nt
Organism: Nyctereutes procyonoides (raccoon dog)
Lineage: Eukaryota; Metazoa; Chordata; Mammalia; Carnivora; Canidae
Exons: 3
Source: RefSeq, a predicted model, not a curated record
CGGCCCGACAGGGUCCUGGAAGGCGCUCCGUGGGUGGUGAUAGCAUUUUAUAAAAAUAAAACAGUAAAAUAGAAAGCCCCCGAGCAUCUCCCAUAGAGUAUGGCUUUGUGUUUAGGCCACUCAGUACGUGAGUGUUCCCGUGGGUACUGGGUCAAGAUGUCAAACCUGUUUCUUACCCCAAGUGCCAAACUAAAGAAGGGAAACCCCUGGGGACAAGAGCUUAACCCACGGCGCGGACUAGGCAUCUGACUGCCCUCGUCUUGCAGAGGAGGACUUGAGACCCAGCACGGACCGACCGUGGCUGCAGGCCGGAGAGGCAGCUCCUGCUGCGCAUGAGACAUCCUGCUCCCACCAGCACCCAGCGACAUCCAGGACCAGGGAGCCGCGGCUUUGAGGAAAGGGAACAGGAAGGAAGCAGAAGAGGAGGUGGAAAGUCUUGAGAAUGUACCUGCCGAGGCUUACCUGGGGAGUGAAGUGGUCCCUGAUACAGACAGGUGUGAAUAUGUGGACACGGGACGCUGUCCUGGGUUCCAUCACAGUCCGGCAGGUCCUGCUGCAGGAAGGACCCUUCACUGCAGAACAUCAUUGUGCCUCUGAUGUCCACCUGAGCAAGAAUGAGCCUCGUGGCCAUUGGAGGUGUGGGUAUCAUUGCUUACCAGGAGCAAAACACAACAGAUGGCUGUUUUCUCGGAAGGCUCCAUCAGGCUCCGCGGCUGGGGGCUGGGAGAGAGCCUGGGGCAGGGACUGUGCCCAGGCUGCCGCCUGCCGGCCCCCAGGACCUGGCCUCUGUGCACUUCCCAAGGGGAGAACGAGAGUGAGACCGAGUCACCGAAGCCACAGCUGAGGAUGUGGAAACGGGAAAGGGGGACGUAAGGGCCCAUGCACUUGGCAGUUCUCUUUAUUUCUAAAUAAAAGAUAA